GCGAUCAUACCAGCAAUAAUGCACCGGAUCCCAUCAGAACUCCGCAGU
RNAcentral lists this ribosomal RNA (48 nucleotides) under Chenopodium quinoa (quinoa). The record is from RNAcentral. Lineage: Eukaryota; Viridiplantae; Streptophyta; Magnoliopsida; Caryophyllales; Amaranthaceae.